RNAcentral lists this long non-coding RNA (12263 nucleotides) under Marmota monax (woodchuck). The record is from RNAcentral. Lineage: Eukaryota; Metazoa; Chordata; Mammalia; Rodentia; Sciuridae.
GUCACGGGCAGCAUCUUCUUCCUGGGCCGCCGUGGGCUUCGUCUGAGAUGACACGGGGCAGGGUGGCUAGCACGGUGGCUGACCCUCAGACGGUCAGGGUCAGGUCUCCCUGGAUGUGGCGGAGAGCCCUGGCCUCUCCCUCCAGUCUGGAAGUUCAAAGAGGAGUGGGAAGAGACCCUCUGUCCCCCCUCAUGAAGGACACCCCAUGUCAGGGCCGACUGCUUUGGCUUGUUUUGCAGGGCCAGGGCUGAAACCCGGGGCGCUGGACAUUCUGGGCAGGCCCUCGACCACCAUCUACCCUCUAGCCCUGAGCUGGGUUAGAGAGUGGGGACCCUUCUAGACUCAAGUGCCUGAGAGACUUUCCAUGGUCAGCGAGUGCCAGACCAGCCAUAGGCUGAGAGUACACCCGCUACCUACACCUAGGGACACGGGGGUCACCGUUAAAGUGCCAGGAGGCAUUGACCCCUGUGAUAGGCUUUCUGGAAAGUUCCAUCAGCUAUUCCUAUCUCUUGGGUCCUCUCUAGCAGCUUCACCUCCAGCCCUGUGGCCCCUGUGGUGUCCCCCCCCAUCCCAGGUGAGCCCCGUGAGGGACAGUGGGGUCCGUGGGGAGAGCAGAGAGGGUCUUCAAAGACUGAGCCCCGGAGCCUGGGCUUCAUUUCCCUAUGACCCACGUGGAACUCCACAUCCGCAGAGCAAGGGUGAGUGGAAAUAGAGCAGGGAGACAGCUUCCAGGACUUUCCCAUGUGACUAUACCCACGCAAUCUCAGCGCCCACGUGGAACACGGAUCUCGGGCCCCGUAGCAGGGUUCCGUUCCUUGCCCUUCCCACCAAGUCACCUCUGUCCCUGGAGAUGACCUCUUGCCUAACCGCGAACUCCUUGAACCGUGCUGCAUCUGUUUGGAUUCUUUCUCUCCACAUCAAGCCUGUGAGAUUCACCUGUGCUGUGUGCAGCAGUGCGGUUCAUUUUCUUCGCUGUGUAGUAUUCCAUCCUCCUGUUAAUGGAUAUUUGGGAUGGUUACAUUUGGGGGGUGGGGGGCAUGUGUUUGGCUUUAGGGAACGUUGCCACGUGGCUUAACGACUUUCCACAGUGUUUGUACCACUCCACCCUCCCACCAGCCGAGCCCAGGAGUUCUAACAAGGCCUUGGAUCAUUUCAUCAGAAAGACCCGGAUUCCAAGUCCUGCUCUGCCACUUAGCAGCUGUGACACUUGGGGCAAAACAUAUGACUUCUUGGAGCCUCGGCGUCCCCACCCGUAAGUGGAAUGAUGGCUCUUACCUUGCAGGGCUGUCUCCAGGACUGAGUGAGGGGAAAGCUCGGACCACGAGCUCUUCUUCCUUCCGCAGAAUCAACAGGGAGACGCCUCCACGGCCCAGUUCGAUGUGAGACCCUGGGUCUACCCUGUCCCAGGGGGAUAAGCCCUGUGCUAUGCUGUGAAGUGUCCCCCCAAGUUCAUGUGUUAGAAACUUAACCCUCAGAUUCUCAUGUUGGUGGCCUUUGGGACCUAAUGAGGGCACCAGGGGGCCGUGGGGGUGGGGCCUCCACCAUUGUGUUAGUGCCUUUGUAGGAAGAGUUAGCCCCCAUGCUCUGGCUCACCCUGUGCCCCGUAAGCAUGCACCAGUGGACGCUCAGCAGAUGCCAAGUAGCCAGCCCCGUGGACUUCCCAGCCACCAGGCCUGGGAGGUUAAUAAAUUUUUAUUCCUUAUAAAUUACCCCGUGUGACAUUUGCAGCCUAUUUAUGGCAGGGCCGUGGACUAGGUGGCCGAGAGAUCAAGGAAGAGACCCAGAGAAGGAAUACGGUGCCCAUAUAGUUAGUUGAGAAGUGUUUAUGGGGGAGAUCCAGUGGCGGCAGGCUGGCCCGAGCGCCUCUGCCCCUCAAAAGGGCUGCCUGGACCCGCACCUUCCUCCCUGAGGUUACUGAGCCAUCCCAGUUACUACAGGGAGGGGGUUUAUGGGUUCGCUUACAGAAGCCACAAAUCAUUGAUUUGUUUAGUCUGUUUUCUUUCUUGUGUGACCGGCAUCCAGCUGUCUGGGUAUGUGGGCAAGAGAGCAGCUCACUACAGAAAGCACUGCAUUGCUCUAAUUCCCAGCAUACUUUAGAGAAGUCCAGGGUCCUUCUGGAUAGUACGUGUCCAGGCAGGCCACCCUGGCCUGGCUCUCACAGUCCCCUGGGGCUUGUUAAAUCCUUGUGAAAGCAACAUUUCAGGGACCUGGUACUACUGUCCUCUUUUUUUUUUUUAAGAACAGUAUGCCUGAUCUCAGGCAUUUUGUUAUAGCCACAGAAAACAUGACUACAUCCUGGAUCUUUGCUUCCAGGAACAACCUCCUCUGAGAUCAGGGUGGCCCUCAAUUCUCGGAAGCUUCAGCUCCCAUCCCCAACGGUGGCUGAUCCAGCAGUGGGUAUAGGCUGUGCUAAUGCCAGCCUUACUCUGGGUAGCCACCUGCUCAACUCCCUCAGAGCCCAGCUAGGUCCCCAAGCACAGCAGUGAACACAGUUGGCCACUUCUUCAUACUCAGCGGUUUGCCUGUGCUGAUGUUCCCUUGGGUGCGGUGCAGCACGGCGGCUUCCUCAGCCCACCCAUCUCUCCCCCGCGUCUGGAAGGGAGUAGAGGUUCAGAGAGGAAGUCUUGGGGCUGGAGUGAGCGGGUAGAGGUGGGGUGGGGGUAAAAUGCGUGCACUUGACCAAGGAGGCUUAGAGAUGGUAAGAGAACUAACUGCCUGAGGCCGUGGUGAGUGGCAGCUACUGUCAUUGUCCUGGCCACGGCUUGUGUUUCCUGGGUAAUCGCUGAGUGCCAGGCGCUGAGCUUGACUCUUCCCCCCACCCCACCUCUACCCGCUCUGAACCUCAAACGUUUGGCUCAGGCUCCUACCUCAGGACCUUUGCACAUGCCGUUAAACUCUUUCUGGCAUGCUCCUUGUCCAGACAUUUGCUUGGGUGACUCACCAUCUCCUACAAAUCUCAUCUUGCCCGUGAAGACCACUCUGACCGUCCGUCCAUCAGUGUGUGUGGACCAACAAGUACUAUUGAGAAGGAAGAAGGGACAGAGGAGAGAAGCUGGGGGAGGGGAAAAGGAAUGGCGCAUGGCCAUCUUUAUUCCGGUGAAAUCAGGUGACGAUGAGCAUCCCAGAGGGAUCCCGAUGGCACAGAAAGAUCAGAAAAGUCCCCAGAGGGAGGCAGGGCAGCAGCUCUGCUCAUUUGCCCCGAUGCAGAUUUUGAGGCUCCAGAUGUGAGCCAGUCUCACAGUCUGGGCAGCCCCCCUCCCGGUCCCUCCUUCCACCCGCCAACCACCCUGGGGGCUCUGACGACACGAGGAGUCCCCCCAUCCCCCAGCCACGGCCCCAGGAACGGUCAGGGUGAGGAAAGAUGCUCAGAGACCCUCAAAAAUGACUCAUGUCACUCCUGCUCCAAACGGGGGACCCUGACACCCUGACCUCCUUGAGUGUUUCGUCCCACUGGAUGGCCACCACACCUGGGCAGAUGGUGCCCCAGACCCAGGACGGUGUCACCUGCUGCAGCCCCCCCCCCCAUCACCACUUCCACCACUCUUUCCUCCCGGGAGGGACCGGGGUUUCACACAGCAGCAGCCGAGGCCCAUAAAUAGCAGCUGGCCACUCGCAGGCCGACCCUCCCAGGCCCCAAAAAGGAAGUGAGAGAAAGGCGGGCACUUCUGUCCUUCCUGCAGAAAGUACUGCUUCUGCAAGUGACCCCCCCGCAGGCCCUCCCCAGGGCUCCCCAUCCUCCGUGCGGACCCAAACCAGCUCAGGGCCUCUGUGGGGCAGGGUUAGCCUCAGGUGGGGCUCAGCUGCUGUAACAGGUAGGACCCAGAGACACGGCCGACCAGGGGGGGAGCGGAGGCCUCACCAGGAAUCUGUGCCCCGUUUUGUUUUGUGAAUGGCACUUUGUUCCAUAAUGAGGCCCUGCUGACCCAUGUAGGGGCCAUGCUGGGUUAAGAAAGCCCCACGGCUGGCUGGGCUCGGGGUGACCUCCCUUGGGAGGUACACUCAUCCACGUGAAGAUCAAUAGUCACACACACCCCCAGCUUUUUAGGCAAAACUAGAUUUGGAGUAGCAGUGUCUGGGGAUGUCCCCAGCUGCUGCCCCACGGGUGGUCACCAAAUGUGAGCGAAGACUUGAAUCUCAGGUGAGCAAAGCUGGGAAGACAUAGAAUGUCCGGUGGGUACCUUUCCAGAGGCCUUUCCCUCAGUCCUUCCCUGUUCAAAGUCUCCAUCUGUUCCUGCCCACACUCCUGGCCUGGCACAGCUGCGAGGAUAAACCGUGAUGCACCCUCAGGACAGGACACGGAAUGAGCCGGACCCACGGGCCUCUCACAAACAGGCUGGGGGAGAAGGAAGGCCGGGGACAAUGUGUGGCUCCAUGCAUGUCAACUAGAACUCAGACCCCAGACAGCCCCAGGACCACCGUCAGCCCCCAUGGAGGUAGGUGAAAUUAAAAAAAAAAAAAAUGAGCCGGAAUCAGAAACUCACCAAAUUCCAAUACUGGCGACUUCAGGGUGCCGGGGGGCAGGGGGUGGGGGUGAUGCAGCCGGUAAACUUGAACCGCAUCUGCAAUGCUUCAGGCUUUAAAAAGAAUAAACUCCACCAGCCUUUUAAAAAAAUAUUUAAUUUUUAGUUUUAGGUGGAUGCAAUAUCUUUAUUUUAUUUAUUUAUUUUUUAAGAGAGAGAGAGAGAGGGAAAGAGAGAGAAUUUUUUUAAUAUUUAUUUUUUAGUUUUUGGUGGACACAACAUCUUUGUUUGUUUGUGGUGCUGAGGAACGAACCCGGGCCGCACGCAUGCCAGGCGAGCGCGCUACGGCUUGAGCCACAUCCCCAGUCCUUUAUUUUAUUUUUAUGUGGUGCUGAGGAUCGAACCCAGGGCCUCAUGCAUGCCAGGCAAGCGCUCUACCUCUGAGCCACAACCUCAGCCCUGGAACUCUAUCAGUUUUAAACAAGGCCCUUUGUUAAAUUAUUAUUAUUAUUAUUAUUAUUAUUAUUAGUGCUGGGGAUCGAACCCAGGGCCUUGUGCAUGCAAGGCAAGCACUCUACCCACUGAGCUACAUCCCCAGCCCUAAGUCAUUUCUUGCACCAUUCCAAGUGUGAUUUUCUGCAUUCAAAUAUUCGAUUUCAACACAUGGGUUUUCCCAGCUUCGUUAUCUUUACCAGAAGGUGGGCACUCUGCAGCACAGGAGAAAACAGACCAAAUAUCCCUGCCCAUGAAGGCUAUGCAGAGACAGAUCAUAAACACGUAAAUAAGGGUCCAUGUGUCUGGGGUUGACCAGGUCAGCGUGGGAGGAAAAGGCAGGAAGGUGAGCUGGUGUGACAAAUGCUUUGUUUAUUUAUCAAUUUUUUUUAAAAAAAAAUUGUUCUUUUUAGGUCAACGUGACAGUAGAGGGUAUUUUGACAUAUUCUGCAUACAUGGAGAAUAACAUCCUAAUCAGGAUCCCAUUCUCGUGGGUUGUAUGACAUGGAGUUCCACUGGCCGCAUGUUCAUACAUGAGCACAGGAGAGCUCUGUCUGAAGCAUCCUCCUGUCUUUCCUAGUCCCCUGCCCCUCCCUUCCCUGGGGAUGCUAUCGUAGGUAAGGGAGCACGUGAGGUUAUCUAGGAUGCCCUGUAUUGCUAAUAUUUUUGCAGUACAGGGGUGAAACCCAGGCCUUGUGCAGUCGAGGCAGGUGCUCUACCACUAGCUACACCCCCAGCCCUAUCCCUUUAUUUGAGCCAGAAUUUCUCUAGGUUGCCCAGGCUGGCCUCAAACUCCCAGGUGGAAGCAAUACUCCUGCCUCAGGUGGCUGAGACUACAGGUGCAUGCCUCCCUAGCGUCUUGUUCCUUUUUAUGGCUGAGUAAUACCCCAUUUGGGUGGAGGUAUGGCAGUUGCUUGUUGAUUGACAUCUCAGCUGUUUCCAGUUUCUGAUGAUCACGAGUCAAGCUCUCAUAAACAUUGAUGCACGUGCUGGUGUGAACAUGUCCCUUCAUUCUUUCCUAACGGUGGAAUCGCUAUCUCACCUUGGAGGGAUGUUUAAAAUUUAAGAACCUGCCAAAUUAUUUUCAAAAGGGAUUUACUGUCUACAUUCUGACCGGCCAAGAAUGAGAGUCCAGUCGUUCCACCUUCUCGUCAACCCUGGGUACCGUCGGUCUUUUUCAUUGUAGCCCAGGUGUGCAGUGGUACCUCGUUAAGGUUUUUAUAUUUCUCCCUGUCGACACUGAGCCUCUUUCUUGGGCUCAUUUGCCAUCCACAUUAGGGUAUUUGAUGAAGAACCUGUUCAAAUCUUUUGUCCGUUUUUGAAAAAGUGGAUUGUUUAUAUUCUUCUUAUUGGAUUUUGAGAGCUCUUUAUAUAUUCUGGAUGAAAUCUAUUUCAAACAAUUAGAGCUUUAAUAGGUAUACAUGCAAAGGGGUAUAUUUUGACAUACAUGCAUGGAAUUUGAUUUCAAUCCCCAUCCCCCUCCGACUUCCCUCCCCCUCCCUCCUCUCCUUCCUCUACUGAUUAUAAAUGAUUUGCAAAUAUUUCCUUCUGUUCUGAGGCUUAUCUCUUCACACUCUUAACAGCAUCUACUGAAAAGCAAAAAUUUUUAAUUUGGACGAAAUUAAUUUAUCUUUUUAAAAAUUUUCUGGUUUAUGCUUUCAGUGUUGUAUCUAAGAAGUCUUUGCCUAACCAAAAAAAAUUUUUUUUUUCAAAUGUUUUCUUCUUAGAAAUUUUGGCUUUAGGUUUUACAUUUAGGUCUAUGAUCCUUUUGGGGGGUAUAUGGUAUAGGAUAUGGACCCAAAUUAUCAUUACUAUUUUUUUUUUUUUGCAUACGGAUUUCAAAUUGCUCCAGAACCAUUAAAUAAUCCUUAGCUGGGCAUGGUGGCACAUGCCUUGUAAUUCUAGCUACUCAGAAGGCUGAGAAGGAGGAUCACAAGUUCAAGGCCAGCCUCAGCAACUUAUCGAGACUUUGUCUCAAAGUAAAAAACAAUAGUGCUGAGGAUGUGGGUACCAAAAAAGGGAGGGAGGGAGGAAGGGAGGGAGGGAGGGAGGGAGGGGAAAUUGAAAAAAGAAAAGAAAAAAAUGAUUCCUUAUCAAUUGCCUUUGCACCUUGUUGAAAAUGACUUGUCCAGAUGUUGGGUUCCAUUUCUAGAGUCUUUAUUCUGCCCCAUACUAAAACCACACCCUUUUUUAUAUAAUUUUUUUUUUUAGUUUUAGACGGACACAAUACCUUUAUUUUACUUAUUUUUAUGAGGUGCUGAGGAUCGAACCCAGGGCCUCACACGUGCUAGGCAAGCGCUCUACCCCUGAGCCACAGCCCCAGCCCAAACACACCCUUUUUUCUAGUCUAGUUUUAAGGCUAGUUCUAAAGGAGGCAAUUCGAGCCUCCAACAGCUCUUUGACAACUUGAUAUUGAGGUUUCUGAUCUAUAAGCAUAGUCUAUCUCUCCUUUUACUUAAGAUUUUUAUUUAUUUUUAUCUAUUUUUUUAGGUGUAGAUGUGGGACACAACACAAUGCCUUUAUUUUUAUGUGGUGCUGAGGAUCGAACCCGGGUCCCACCCGCGCUAGGCGAGUGCUCUACCGCUGAGCCACAACCCCAGCCCAACUUAAGAUUUCUUUAACUUAUCUUAGCAAUGUUUUUUGUUGUUGUUGUUUUCAUUAUAUAAGUCUUUCACACCUUUUGUCAGAUUUAUUCCCUUUUCAUAUUUUUGAGAGCCCUGCAAAUUAUGAGAAUUUCAAUUUGUUGUUUGUUAUUAAUAUUUAGAAAAAUGCAAUCAAUAUAUGAUAUACAAAAUCCACCCAUGGUGUAUAUUGAUCCCGUGUCCUGGGAUCUUAUUAAAGUCCUAUUAGUUCUAAUAGCUUUUAUGUAAAUUCCAUGGAAUUUUCUAUAUAUAGGAUUUUCCAUAUAGCAAUUAUGUUUGUCUAAGAAUAAAGACAUAUUUUUUUUCUUUCAAACCUGAAUGAUUUCUAUAUCUCCUUCACUCCUUAUAAAAGGCUCAGGGGUCACUCCAGAUAAACUGGGCUAACUGGGCUGUACGAAAUAACCAAAAAGAGACACAAAUACCUUUUAUUUUGGGCUCCCUGUGACGGCUCCUCUGACCUUAAGGGUCCGCAGGAAGAGAGAGAGCGAGAGAGCACGCACUGACCCCUUUUAUUGAGGAGAAGCUACCUCAAAGUAAUAAAAGCCAUAUAUAUAUAUAUAUAUAAAAACCCUACAACACAAUGCAUGGUGAAAGCCCUUCUUUAAGAUCAGAAAUAAAGUUAGUAUGUCCAUUUUCACCACUUCCUAUUGAACAUAAUAUUGGAAGUUCUAGCCAGAGCAAUUAGACAAGAAAAAGAAAUAAAAAGAAUCCAAAUUGGAAAAGAAGUAAAAUUAUCUCUGUUUGCUGAUGAUGAUCUUAUAUGUAAAGAUCUUGAUUCCAUAAGAUAAACUGUUAGAACUAAUAAAUGAAUUCCUCAAGGUAGCAGGAUACAAAAGUCAACAUGCGAAAAUCAGUUACAUGUUCACACACCAACAAUAAACCAUUUGAAAAGAAAAUUACAAACGGCAUCAAACAGAAUAAAAUACUCAAUUAACCAAGGAGAUGAAAUGAAAGAUUUGUACAAUAAAACUAUAAAAUAAUGCAGAAAGAAAUUAAAUGAAUGAUGUUAAGGAAAACACUUCUCAUAUUCAUGGAUUGGAAGAGUUGACAUCCAUAUGGAAUUGUGGAUUACCAAAAACCCUCUUAAGAUUCCUGUUUAGACUAAUAUUCUGUUCAUGAUGAUACACGUCUAUUUCUAAGAUGAUUGCUAUCAUCUAAAUAUUUCUAUCCACCCAAAAAAUACAUGUUGAAACCUAAUCCCUGGUAUGAUAGUGUUAAGAUGUGAGACUUUGGGGAUAAUUAGGUCACGAAGGCAUGCCCUCUCAUGAAUAAGAUUAGAAGUGGCCUUAGGGAGCAUGUUCUUUCUCUCUGCAAUGUGAAAUCUAAGCAAGAAGGUACCAUUUAGAAAACAUAAAGUGAGACCUGACCAGACAAAAUACUGCAGAGAGAAAUUAAAUGAAAGAUGUUAAGGAAAACACAUCUCAUAUUCAUGGAUUGGAAGAGUUGAUAUCCACAUGGAAUUGUGGAUAUCAAUGACACCUUGAUCACUUCUUGAUAAAUUCAUUCCUUCAUUAAUAACCUAGGUCUUUUCUAACGUGCAACUCAAAACUUUUCCAGCCUCUACCUAUUACACGUUUCCAAAGCCACUGCCACGUUUUGGGGGGUAUUUGUUAUAACAGCAUCCCACUUUGCAGUGCCCAAAUCUGAGUCGGUUUGCUCCGGUGGUGUCUCAUUCUAUUUUGUGCUACCAUAACAGAAUACUGCAGACCCAGCAAUUGAUAAUGGACAGACAUUUAUUGGCUCAUAGCUCUAGAGCCCAGAAUUCUAAAAUAGGAGGGUUGUAUCUGAUGAGAUGAGAGAGAGAGAGAGAGAAUUUUUUAAUAUUUAUUUUUUAGUUUUCGGUGGACACAACAUCUUUAUUCUAUUUGUAUGCGGUGCUGAGGAUCAAACCCAGCACCCAGUGCAUGCCAGGCGAGCACUCUACCGCUUGAGCCACAUCCCCAGCUCCUCAUCUUUUUAUAAGGCACAUACUCUUGGGAUAAGGAACCUACUCCCAUGAUAACGCCAUUAAUCCAGGCGUGAGGACAGAACCCUGGUGACCUAGUCACGUCUUAAAGUUCCCACCUCUUAACCCAGUUAAAAAUGACAACUAAUUUUGAUGUAAAUUUGGGAGGGGGUGCAGAUGUUCAAACGAUGAUAUCAGGCUGCCAUAACAAAAAGAUUGGAUGGCUGAAACAAGAGAAAUUUAUUUUCUCACAGUCCUGGAACUUAGAAGUUGAGGAUAAAGGUGUUCGUAGAGUUGAUCUCUUCCAAGGCCUUGUUCUUUGGCCUUGUGAGUGGCUACAAGGCCAAGUGGCUGUCCCUCGGUGCGCAUCUGUGCCCUAAUUCCCUCUUCUUAAAAGGACACAAGCCAGACAAGAUUAGGGCCCACCUCCAACCACCUGAUUGAACUCUAAUUACCUCCUUAAAGACCUUAUCUCCAAAUAUAACUACAUACUGACGUCCUGGAGGUUAGAACUCCAACGUAUGGAUUCGGUAGGGCUAUGGCUCAGCUCCUGACACCCCAUUCCUAAGCUCCGGAUGGCUGAGGCUGGAGAACUGAGGCUGGUAGCUCACUACUGGCCCUGAAAAUCUUCUGCUCCAAAAUAAUAUGCUUGAUUUCUGCUCUACUUCACCGGCCAAAGCCAGUCCCAUGGCCAUGCCUUCUCUUCAGAGGGAUGGGGAAAUGCUAUUCUCAUAUGAUCCUUCAAGGAAGACAACUAGGACUUCAUAUAAAGCCCCUAAUGAUUACCAGUGUCUAGCAUGGAGCCCCAGUAACUCCCUUUGUAGGUGGUCUGCCAAGAUGGCCACCGGUCAUUCUCGUCCUCUCUGGCCCUCUCCCCAUCAAGAAAUAGAGUCUAGGGCUGGGGAUGUGGCUCAAGCGGUAGCGCGCUCGCCUGGCAUGCGUAUGGCCCGGGUUCGAUUCUCAGCACCACAUACAAACAAAGAUGUUGUGUCCACUGAGAACUAAAAAAAAAUAAAUAUUAAAAUUCUCUCUCUCUCUCUCUCUCUCACUCUCUCUUAAAAAAAAAGAAAUAGAGUCUAUUCUCUUCCCUUGGAAUUUGGAUUGUCUUAUAGUUUGCUUUAUUCAACAGACUCUACAGGAGUUAAUGUUCUAGAUCUUUCCACCCUCAGACUCCAGAGGUCUGAUAACUUCUGCUUUUGCAGAAGGAAACCCAUGUAUGAUGAAGACAUUCUAGACACAUGAGGCAGCUCUCCGACAUCAUGAAAAGACUGAACCCCAGCCAGCCCUGACGGCUCUUUGAGCCACCCAACGGAGGCACCCGACAUGUGACCGAGGCCACCUUUAUUCUUCCAGCCCUACAGAGUCAACCUCGCUCACACCAGGCAGAGCAGAGACUCAUGUUGAAAUUUACCUCACCCCCACGGUGAGGGAUCAAGAGGUGAGACCCGGUGGACGCAUGAAGAGGAAAUCAGGUCAUUUAAUGGAUUAAAUGCAUUCAUGGAUUAAUGGAUUAUUGCAGAUGCAUAAAACCUAAUCCCAAACUGGCUUGAACCCAUUUUUGUGUGGGGGGGGUGCACCAUUGGACAGGGACGACGUCAGGCAUGGCUGGAUCCCGAUCCACCUCUUAGGUUUGCUUCCCCCGGAGAUUUCAAGCUGCAUGUUUGUGACUGGCCCAGUUUGGGUCCUGUGUGCAUUCCCGGGCCCACGGAUGUUGUCAGAAUAGAGAGCAGUUUGAUUAGCCAACCUGGGGUGGUGAUUCCCUCCAGACCCAGGGGUGGACCCAACAUACUGCAGGGACUGAAAACACGGGCGUGUGUUCUCAGAUGGCAAUCAAGAGCUCUUUCAGAAAAGGUGUGUGAGAUUAGCACCCUUCCUGACCCCAACCCUCCCUUCCCAUUUGGCCUGCCUCUGCUCUCUCCCAAAUACCUCAUUGCCUCCCCACCCUCAGCUUGAGCAGGUCCCUCCUCCACUUGGAAUGUCUUCCAUACCAGUGGAAGACAGCUGGGUUGCCGCCGAGGCUGGCCUCAAGCUUCUGUGAUCCUCCUGCCUCAGCCUCCUCAGCAGCUAGGAUUACAGGCAUGCACCACAGCACUCAGCUACAUUAAGCAUCUUGAGAUGACGAUCUUGCAUUGUCCCCGGGAGCCCUAAGUGCAGUCACAUGCAUACUUACAAGGGGGAGGUAGAGAGAGAGUCCUUGACACAGACAGAAGAAUCAGAGACAACAUGACCGUGGGGACAAAGUCUGCAGCCACCAAACAGGCUCCCCUUGAGCCUCAGCAGGAGCAUGGCCCUGAGGAUGCCUUGAUUUUGACCAUGGGAUACUGAUUUAAGUCUUUUGACCUCCAGAACUGCAAGAGAAUAAAUGCUUGUUGUUUUAAGCCCCUGGAUUAGAGAAAUUUGUCAUGGCAAUCCUAGGACACGAAUAUGGCUUUCCACGUUAUGAAGAAUGCGAUGUUAACGCCUGUAGGACCUGUGGUCUGACUCCUGCUCCUGCUCGCGCUCACAGAGGACAUCCGACUGCAGCUUGAACACUGCUGCCCCAGGGCCUUUGCACUUAUUCCCUCAGUCUGGCAUGCUCUAUCUUUGGGUUAUUCCAUUAUCUCCUUAGGGGAGAUCUUCCCUGACUAAAACAGCACUGCCCCACCCCCAGUCCCUUGUCAUUUUUUUUUUUUAAGUUCCCUUGAUUUUCUUUCUUUUUUUUUUAAAGAGAGAGAGAGAGACCAC